This 164-nucleotide ribosomal RNA is filed under the name uncultured bacterium. Its description in RNAcentral is "partial 16S rRNA". It matches the Rfam family "Bacterial small subunit ribosomal RNA", at positions 355 to 511 of the family's 1533-position model. The record is from RNAcentral.
UAGGGAAUCUUCCACAAUGGGCGCAAGCCUGAUGGAGCAACACCGCGUGAGUGAAGAAGGGUUUCGGCUCGUAAAGCUCUGUUGUUGGUGAAGAAGGAUAGAGGCAGUAACUGGUCUUUAUUUGACGGUAAUCAACCAGAAAGUCACGGCUAACUACGUGCCAG